Acanthopagrus latus (yellowfin seabream) is the source of this 2813-nucleotide long non-coding RNA. RefSeq lists it as uncharacterized. NCBI's taxonomy places the organism in Eukaryota, Metazoa, Chordata, Actinopteri, Spariformes, Sparidae. The record is from RefSeq and is a predicted model, not a curated record. The transcript is spliced from 3 exons.
GAAGCCGUGGAAAUGUGUUGCCCUCUGUGGUUGUCAUAAUAAUAUUAAUUACAGUCGGAUUCUUCCCCAUUUCAGCCAACAAGCUGCCAGUCGCUGCUCUGACGUCUGCAGGGCGCAGGGUGUGGAGAGACGGGGCUGCUGUGGAUGAGCUGAGAGUGACACUCACACGCCUCGGCUUUAUUAGGCGACGAUCGACACAUGAUCGUUCAUUGACGGCGUCGAGCUAAUUGACAAACAAAUAAAAAACCUAUGGCGGCCUUUUUUAUGUCAUUUAUCUAGGACGCAGCUUUGCCUGAACUCGUUCUUUUAAAUGUAGAUCUCCAAGCAUGCCCCACUUACAGAUGUUUGUUUUUUAAAAAUGGAUUUAUGCUUUUUAAUCUUUGAAUAAUUAGACAGAAUAAUAGCGUGAAAGUGACGUCUUCCUUUAUAAUAUAUAUAGAGAGAGACAAAGAAAAAAAGUAGCGCAAUGUUCCCAUAAUAUUCCGGAUUGGAUUCUGUGGUUUUCUUAUUCAAAAGUGAGUUUUCAGUGACCUCACUGGACUCGAUUGUAUUUCCCAUCAGCAGCAAUGCGUUUCAUUCACUCCACUGUGCGAUAACAAGCGCGGUCGAUGCUCUCCUGUGAGCUGCAGUGGGUGACCACACUGAGUCUGAGGAUCACUUUCACACGCUGCUGUUGUUGUAGAUGCACGGGACGAGAAAAAAACAAAAACAAAAAAACAAAAAAACAAAACAAAACCAGACGUCCCUCUCUGCAUCAUCGUCAUCAUCAUCAUCAUCUCUUGCCGCUUGACCUGCCAUUUGGAUGCCUGGCACGUGGUGACACCCGGAAAUAAAGCCCCUCUCCGAGCUCGCGAGUACUUUUUUUGCGGGGCCCAGUAAUCAAAAAAGUGCGCCCUCGUGCCCUUCAUCCGCUCUCCGGCAGACGCAAUUAAUAGCGCGUCGCGUUAAUUACACCUUCCUUUUUAUUUAGGUGACUUGAAAUUUCCCAUUAGGCUCACAGGGAAGGGGGGGAAAAAGGAGAAGAAAAAAAAAAUAACCCACUCCGGUGUUGUGGUGCUGAGCUGUGGAGACACACAGAGAGGAGGAUAGUCGGUGCUCUACCGCCAUCUAGCGACGCCGGCGUGACCCCGAGGGACACAUGCCAAGAGUGAUUUGUCUGCUACAGAUUUCCUGGAAGGAAGCCACUUGAAAAGUUCUGACGACUGCAGCGCAGCCUGGGGAUGUUUUUUUACUGAGUGCCAGAGACGGCUCAAUCAGACUGCGAGAAGUACGACUCAUUUUUCCAAAGGAGACAACAGCGGCCAACGCCUCCUGCUUAUAGAAAACAGGAUGCUUUCUGGUGUCGAGACUUGGUUAAAUGAGCGAUCCUGACUCAGUGCGCUGAAAACAACAUUUCAUUGGUAAUGAGCAGAUUCACCAACUCGUAGGAAAAAAUGACAAACGCACGCGUUAUUGAUCAACAGUCGGACAUAUCUGUCUGUCUGAAGCAACAACAUUAAUACAUAAUCUUCCUCUGAUCACAUCGCGUAAUGCAACAUUGUGAAUAACGACGUAAUGUUUCAAUAUGAUUUCCUGGGGUCUAAUUAAUUUUGAAAAUGAGUGUUUUUGUGACAAACUUUAUUUACCCCCCCAGAGAUCUUAAUCUAAUGUCUUCGUAUGAAGUUUGCCUGUCAAACAUCAUGUCCAUCUCUGAGUCGUGUGAAGAUGAAUCAGCCUUCUGUAUCAAUCACUCGUUCAAUCUGUCUCCUUCUCUUUCUCCUCCCUCCUCCUCCUCCUCCUCAGCACGCAGAUAACAGUGAUACAAGCUCAUGAGCUGAACAUAAUUCCACCAUUUGACAUUGUUGUUCUUCAAUCUCACUCAGAUGCAUCGCAGCUAAUUACACUUUGCACACUUAAGUACACAAAUGCGUGUGUGCGUUCAUUUGUAAACGAGUUAUUGUUUAAUUAUAACUUCACAUGAACUUUGCUGAUCAGUGGGGCGAAUCGUGUCUCCCCUUCAGCGCGUAAUUAUUCAGGCUAUAAUUGCUCGGCCUGUUUGUGAGACAUGCUCGUCUCCCAGCAAGGCCAGCCUACACAGAUCCUCUGUGAGGGACGACCACGAGCCUCUGGAUGCUUUCUGUUCGAGGCUGCAGACAGAACAGGAAGCAUCUGAUGGACAAACGCCAUCACGAUUACAAGCGACAAAGAUAAUCAGGAGCUAAAAGAGCAUCAAAACUGCAAAAAUGACGCUUUUUCUUGUUAGACGUGUCAGAUUCAUGAUUAUGAGAAAUACCUUCCUCAGUUACGUGAAUUAAAUAAUCUCAGUUUAGUCUCUAUUUACCACCUUUUAGGAGCUUUAAACUGCAACUCUCUAGAUUAUGGAAUUGACUCUGUUUGAGACAGUUCCAUCAGUUUGCUGAUGAAAACCAUGGCUGAAAGUUUAGAAAAAGCUAGUAAGUGUACCCUUGAUUUGAGAUUAUUUUUGUCACACUUACUGAUCAGCUGGUCAAAAUUUGAUGUGCGAAGGUUUUCUUAUACAAAAAAAUAUAUUCAUAUACAAAAAAAAAGAAAUAAAACCAAAGCAUAUUAUUCACAGAAAAUGAUGAAAACAUGCAAAACAUGUUACGGUGUUUUUUUUGUUAACAGGAAAAUAUACAAGAGCAUUGUAUAUUUAUGGGGAGAAUAAAAUUAAAAAGACAACUAACUUGACUGUGGUAAAUAAAAUUAAACUACAUUGCGACUGAAUGUCAUUUCUACUGUGAGGGGUUUAUCGUUUAAAACUAAAACAAAUGAUGUAUUUUGAUGAUGUUAUGGGAUCAUGGGAGUUGUUGUUU